GAGUUUGAUCCUGGCUCAGAACGAACGCUGGCGGCGUGCUUAACACAUGCAAGUCGAGUGCGCGUUACCGUAGCAAUACGGUGAUGGCGCACGGCGCACGGGUGCGUAACACGUGGGCAAUCUGCCCUUCGAUGGGGAAUAACUUCGGGAAACCGAAGCUAAUUCCGCAUAACAUUCCGAGGACUAAGGUUCUUGGAUUCAAAGCCGUAAGGCGUCGAAGGAGGAGCCCGCGCACGAUUAGCUAGUUGGUGAGGUAACGGCUCACCAAGGCUUUGAUCGUUAGCUGGUCUGAGAGGAUGGCCAGCCACACUGGAACUGAGACACGGUCCAGACUCCUACGGGAGGCAGCAGUGGGGAAUCUUGCACAAUGGGCGAAAGCCUGAUGCAGCGACGCCGCGUGGGGGAUGAAGCAUUUCGGUGUGUAAACCCCUUUCGACCGGGAAGAAUGCCUCGCAAGAGGAGUGACGGUACCGGUAUAAGAAGCCCCGGCUAACUACGUGCCAGCAGCCGCGGUAAUACGUAGGGGGCCAGCGUUGUUCGGAAUUACUGGGCGUAAAGGGUUCGUAGGCGGUGCGGCAAGUUGG
This 584-nucleotide ribosomal RNA is filed under the name uncultured bacterium. RNAcentral describes it as "bacterial SSU rRNA". It matches the Rfam family "Bacterial small subunit ribosomal RNA", at positions 9 to 591 of the family's 1533-position model. The record is from RNAcentral.